This is a non-coding RNA of Cinara cedri, 320 nucleotides long. The record is from the annotation of a GenBank genome assembly. Lineage: Eukaryota; Metazoa; Arthropoda; Insecta; Hemiptera; Aphididae.
GGUUUAAUUCCUUUUUCAGUUAGUAAACUAAUUAUAACAAGCAUUAAGAUAACAAGUUUUAAAACAUCAUAAAACAACCUUUUAUUAUUGGUAACUGAACUACUGAAUUCUCCUCCCGUGACCAAAAAUAUAAAAACAUAUGUGAAGUAGAAUGUGAGAACACUUGGGGGAGUAUAUAUUUGGAACGAUGGAACAACUCGAUGAAAACAAAUCGUGGAAGUUCAAAUAUUAAUCAUCAGAAACGUGAUCCAUUUAAGUGCAUAUAUUUAUAAUUGUAGACUCCUCCACUCCUUUAUACUAUACUCAUGUGUACUUAUAUU